RNAcentral lists this long non-coding RNA (637 nucleotides) under Vulpes vulpes (red fox). RNAcentral describes it as "lncRNA (ENSVVUG00000030182.1)". The record is from RNAcentral. Lineage: Eukaryota; Metazoa; Chordata; Mammalia; Carnivora; Canidae.
AUGGGGAAACCCAACAUAUUUGCUUUCGCACACAAGGAAUGGAGAACAGAGAUUUUAAGUUCUGCUCAUUCAUUCACAUCGCCAGACUCCAUAGAAUUGAAGUUCUCAUCGUCAUCCAGGUUUCAGCAUGAGAUUCGGGACAAACUAGAUCUUGGUCUGAGUCAGGCUCAGCUCCUUCUGAAUUGUAUGAACCCACUAAAACCUCAGCAGAAUAGCAGCUUCAUGAAGGCAGGUUGGCUUCUGACCUGGUUACUUCUGACUGACCUCCUUCCCGGUGAUCUGGAGUACCAUCUGCCCUCAAAAAGAACAGCAUCUGAUGUGAGCCAAGCAUGGGACUGUUUUGGAAAAGCCCUCCUUGGAAAAGAAUGGAAAGGUAGAUGGAGGGCAAUGACCCAUGAAUUCACAACACAGGACAUCAUCCUCAAUGCCAGAACUUGUUGAGAAGCUCUGAUACUCCCAAAUGUUUUGUACUUGGAUUUGAAAUUUGAUUUCCCCUUUCCAUGCUUCCCUUGGAUGUGGUAUUCUGCUUCCACCACUUCCUGGACAAGAAAGUGAUGCAAAGGCAUGAGAAAAAAGUACUCUAGAAAAACAAAGCACAAUCUUCAGUUUUCCUGUAGGGAAAACCCAAGUAUUCCAG